This 253-nucleotide ribosomal RNA is filed under the name uncultured bacterium. Its description in RNAcentral is "partial 16S ribosomal RNA". It matches the Rfam family "Bacterial small subunit ribosomal RNA", at positions 524 to 776 of the family's 1533-position model. The record is from RNAcentral.
UACGUAGGAGGCGAGCGUUGUCCGGAAUUACUGGGCGUAAAGGGCGCGUAGGCGGCUCAUGAAGGCUGUGGUGAAAGUCCGGGGCUCAACCUCGGAUCGGCCGUGGCGACUCGUGGGCUGGAGCACUGUAGAGGCGGGUGGAAUUCCGGGUGUAGCGGUGGAAUGCGUAGAGAUCCGGAAGAACACCAGUGGCGAAGGCGGCCCGCUGGGCAGUGGCUGACGCUGAGGCGCGACAGCGUGGGGAGCAAACAGG